CCUACGGGAGGCAGCAGUGGGGAAUAUUGGGCAAUGGGCGCAAGCCUGACCCAGCAACGCCGCGUGAAGGAAGAAGGCUUUCGGGUUGUAAACUUCUUUUACGAGGGAAGAGCAGAAGACGGUACCUCUUGAAUAAGCCACGGCCAAAUACGUGCAAGCAGCCGGGGUAAUAAGUAGGUGGCAAGCGUUGUCCGGAUUUACUGGGUGUAAAGGGCGUGUAGCCGGGCUGACAAGUCAGAGGUGAAAAUCCGGGGCUCAACCCCGGACCUGCAUUUGAAACUGUUGGUCUUGAGUAUCGGAGAGGCAGGCGGAAUUCCUAGUGUAGCGGUGAAAUGCGUAGAUAUUAGGAGGAACACCAGUGGCGAAGGCGGCCUGCUGGACGACAACUGACGGUGAGGCGCGAAAGCGUGGGGAGCAAACAGGAUUAGAUACCCGGGUAGUC
Molecule: ribosomal RNA, 442 nt
Filed under: uncultured bacterium
Lineage: Bacteria
Description: partial 16S ribosomal RNA
Rfam family: Bacterial small subunit ribosomal RNA
Source: RNAcentral